GAUGAACGCUGGCGGCGUGCCUAAUACAUGCAAGUCGAGCGAACAGACGAGGAGCUUGCUCCUCUGACGUUAGCGGCGGACGGGUGAGUAACACGUGGAUAACCUACCUAUAAGACUGGGAUAACUUCGGGAAACCGGAGCUAAUACCGGAUAAUAUAUUGAACCGCAUGGUUCAAUAGUGAAAGACGGUUUUGCUGUCACUUAUAGAUGGAUCCGCGCCGCAUUAGCUAGUUGGUAAGGUAACGGCUUACCAAGGCAACGAUGCGUAGCCGACCUGAGAGGGUGAUCGGCCACACUGGAACGGAGACACGGUCCAGACUCCUACGGGAGGCAGCAGUAGGGAAUCUUCCGCAAUGGGCGAAAGCCUGACGGAGCAACGCCGCGUGAGUGAUGAAGGUCUUCGGAUCGUAAAACUCUGUUAUUAGGGAAGAACAAAUUUGUAAGUAACUAUGCACGUCUUGACGGUACCUAAUCAGAAAGCCACGGCUAACUACGUG
This 497-nucleotide ribosomal RNA is filed under the name uncultured bacterium. RNAcentral describes it as "partial 16S ribosomal RNA". It matches the Rfam family "Bacterial small subunit ribosomal RNA", at positions 28 to 507 of the family's 1533-position model. The record is from RNAcentral.